UGUCUAGGGCUACACACGUGCUACAAUGGUUGGUACAACGAGUUGCGAGUCGGUGACGGGCGAGCUAAUCUCUUAAAGCCAAUCUCAGUUCGGAUUGUAGGCUGCAACUCGCCUACAUGAAGUCGGAAUCGCUAGUAAUCGCGGAUCAGCACGCCGCGGUGAAUACGUUCCCGGGUCCUU
Molecule: ribosomal RNA, 180 nt
Filed under: uncultured Streptococcus sp.
Lineage: Bacteria; Bacillati; Bacillota; Bacilli; Lactobacillales; Streptococcaceae
Description: partial 16S ribosomal RNA
Rfam family: Bacterial small subunit ribosomal RNA
Source: RNAcentral